This 253-nucleotide ribosomal RNA is filed under the name uncultured bacterium. RNAcentral describes it as "partial 16S ribosomal RNA". It matches the Rfam family "Bacterial small subunit ribosomal RNA", at positions 524 to 776 of the family's 1533-position model. The record is from RNAcentral.
UACGAAGGGUGCAAACGUUAUUCGGAUUUAUUGGGCGUAAAGGGUGCGCAGGCGGCGUGCUAAGUCAACUGUUAAAUCUCCCAGCCUAACUGGGAAUCAGCGGUAGAUACUGGCAUGCUAGAGGGUGAAAGAGAGAAGUGGAAUUCUUGGAGUAGCGGUAAAAUGCGUAGAUCUCAAGAGGAACACCGAUGGCGAAGGCAGCUUCUUGGUUCACAUCUGACGCUCAUGCACGAAAGCGUGGGGAGCAAACAGG